Non-coding RNA from Oryza barthii, 248 nucleotides. The record is from Rfam. Lineage: Eukaryota; Viridiplantae; Streptophyta; Magnoliopsida; Poales; Poaceae.
AAUAAGUACAGCCAUGAGUUUCAGCGUCCAACUUUUAUCGUCCGUCUUAUUUAAAUUUUUUUUAUAAUUAGCAAUUUUGUUGUUAUAAGAUAAUAAAACAUGAAUACUACUUUACUCGUGAAUUAUGUUUUUAAUUUUUUUCAAAAAUUUUUCAAAUAUCGUGAAUUAUGUUUUUAAUUUUUUUCAAAAAUUUUUCAAAUAAGAUGAGUGAUUAAAGUUGGGCGCGGAAAACGAUGGCUGCACUUAUU